UACGUAGGGGGCAAGCGUUGUCCGGAAUCAUUGGGCGUAAAGAGCGUGUAGGCGGCCAGAUAAGUCCGCUGUGAAAUCUCGAGGCUCAACUUCGAGCUGUCGGUGGAAACUGUCUGGCUAGAGUCCGGAAGAGGAAAAUGGAAUUCCUAGUGUAGCGGUGAAAUGCGCAGAUAUCAGGAAGAACACCCGUGGCGAAGGCGGUUCUCUGGGACGGUACUGACGCUGAGACGCGAAAGCGUGGGGAGCGAACAGG
RNAcentral lists this ribosomal RNA (253 nucleotides) under uncultured bacterium. RNAcentral's name for it is "partial 16S ribosomal RNA". It matches the Rfam family "Bacterial small subunit ribosomal RNA", at positions 524 to 776 of the family's 1533-position model. The record is from RNAcentral.